Molecule: long non-coding RNA, 707 nt
Filed under: Bos taurus (domestic cattle)
Lineage: Eukaryota; Metazoa; Chordata; Mammalia; Artiodactyla; Bovidae
Description: long non-coding RNA NONBTAT026185
Source: RNAcentral
CUACAACAGAGCUUAAACUGGCUUCAGAAUUAAGAGCUUUUUAAAAAAAUGUUUCUUUUUCAGCAGUAUAGACUGAAAAGAUUCAAACAUGUUUAACCACUUGCCUUUUUUUUUUAGUGUUUUUCUCUUCCUUGGAUGCCCAAUUAGCAUUGAAAGAUAGAAAUAUUCUAUGAACUAAUUGGGAGAGAUUGUGUUGUGUUUCUCUACCUCAUCUUGUUGAUCUCUGGAGCAUUAAAAUCUAUUUAGUGUUGUCAUCAGACUGGUACUUAGGAAAUGUAAGCUAACAGCAAUCUCAAAAGUCAGGCAGUGAGGCAUAGCAACUAGGCUCUUAGUUUUUCCAAGACAGCCCCUGUGGGGCAGAGCAUAGAUGGGGGGAUAGAGAGAAGCUGUUGGCAUUAAAAUGAACUAGAGAAUCAGCGCCUAUCGAAGCAUGCUCCAUGUUAGAAGCGCAGCACAGAUACUGAAUGUACAGACAAGCAAAAAGGAAGCUUGAGAAUUUCACAUUGAAGUGAUUAUUUUAUUAAUUCAUUCUAUGUAUAUAUUGACUUGUUCAGAAUUUUUAUAACUCACUAAUCAGUAUUUUGGCACCCAGCUAUCAGUCUCAGAAAGCUUUCAGUAAAAUACAGUAAAUCCUUUUAAUAAAAGCUAUUGUUAUUGCUGAAAUUCAUAUUAUAUAUUCAGAAUGAUAGCAACUUUUUAUGCAUGAC